CCAAAGGCUCUUUUCAGAGCCACCCACCAGAUCAAGCAGAGGAGCU
This 46-nucleotide non-coding RNA is filed under the name Marmota monax (woodchuck). It matches the Rfam family "Histone 3' UTR stem-loop". Rfam says of the family: The mRNAs of metazoan histone genes lack a poly-A tail. Lineage: Eukaryota; Metazoa; Chordata; Mammalia; Rodentia; Sciuridae. The record is from RNAcentral.